This 247-nucleotide ribosomal RNA is filed under the name uncultured bacterium. RNAcentral describes it as "partial 16S ribosomal RNA". It matches the Rfam family "Bacterial small subunit ribosomal RNA", at positions 523 to 769 of the family's 1533-position model. The record is from RNAcentral.
AUACGGAGGGUGCGAGCGUUGUUCGGAAUUAUUGGGCGUAAAGCGCGUGUAGGCGGUUUGUUAAGUCUGAUGUGAAAGCCCCGGGCUCAACUACUGUAAGACGGCCGAUACUGAUGAGCUAGAGUAUGUGAGAGGGAAGCGGAAUUCCCGGUGUAGCGGUGAAAUGCGUAGAUAUCAGGAGGAACACCGGUGGCGAAGGCGGCUGCCUGGACCGAUAUUGACGCUGAGACGCGAAAGCGUGGGUAGC